This 76-nucleotide transfer RNA is filed under the name Thermocrispum agreste. Its description in RNAcentral is "tRNA-Lys". It matches the Rfam family "tRNA". From Rfam's summary of the family: Transfer RNA (tRNA) molecules are approximately 80 nucleotides in length. Their secondary structure includes four short double-helical elements and three loops (D, anti-codon, and T loops). Further hydrogen bonds mediate the characteristic L-shaped molecular structure. tRNAs have two regions of fundamental functional importance: the anti-codon, which is responsible for specific mRNA codon recognition, and the 3' end, to which the tRNAs corresponding amino acid is attached (by aminoacyl-tRNA synthetases). tRNAs cope with the degeneracy of the genetic code in two manners: having more than one tRNA (with a specific anti-codon) for a particular amino acid; and 'wobble' base-pairing, i.e. permitting non-standard base-pairing at the 3rd anti-codon position. The record is from RNAcentral. Lineage: Bacteria; Bacillati; Actinomycetota; Actinomycetes; Pseudonocardiales; Pseudonocardiaceae.
GGGUCGUUAGCUCAAUUGGUAGAGCUGCGGACUUUUAAUCCGUAGGUUCCGGGUUCGAGCCCCGGGCGACCCACCA